ACAUUUUUCGUGCAAGCCCGCUGUCCUCCUGCCAAGAGGCCAGUUGAGUUUUGGCCAUCUCAGGACUCCCAGUGAGGUUGUGAGGGUCCAGACAUGGGUCUGGGCUGCUGUGGAGGACUGUGGCCUGUGCCUGGCUCUACGCUCUAUGGCCUAUGCUUGACACCGCCCCCUGGGAAGGAAGACCCGGCCUCCUCUGCAGGAUCCAGCUGAAGGGCAUCGGCUCACUUGUCCAGCUGCAGCCCAUUUACUCUGCCCACCCCUGCAAAGCCAGGCUCUCCCAGACCCGAGACUGCUCAAGCACGUGCCUGGAGGUCCCAGAAACAUCACUGCCAUGUGGACCCCGGGGGACAAGUCCAUCCAGGGCCGCCUCGUGACACCCCAUUACUGUUACUGGAGUGAGUUUGAGGAAUUCCUAUGUACUAAAAAGAAAAAAGAAUCCUUGACUAAGGCACCCAGCAAACACCAGGAACUAUGUUUGCCUACAAACUGCUAUGUCUCUCUAUGGCGAGCAAGUUCCUGAAAUCCUCCCUCACAGAUUAUCUAUUGAAGUAGAUAUGGAUGUUGCCUUGGCUCGUAUGAAAGCUAAUGAAGGUGACUCCCUGCAAAGGGAUAAGGAAAUGAACAUUUCAGCUGCUCUAUGAGAUUCUGCUUUUUACAAAAAUUCAAUUUACCUAAAAAAAAAAUCAAUCUGGCAACAUCGAUUAGAAUAAGAAGUACACAUACCAUCUGACCCAGUAGUAUAGCUCCUGGGGAUCCAUCCCACAAAACACUGGCUUGGAAGGGCUUAUGCCUAAGGGCGUCUGUUGCAGCAAAAACUAGGGGAAAAAAAAACUUUAGAUAACAACUCUAUAAACUGCUCCUUGGAGUUCUGCUUUCUUCAUGCUAUUAAGCGUGUGUGUAUAGAAAGGAUUCCAGGUGCAAAAGUCCUUCAAAAACACUGAUUUAUACAAAGUCAAACAGAUGUAUUAUUCGUGGGCUUCUCAGAGCUAUUAAGAUGCUUAUUCAGAUAUUAUUCUAGGAAAUAUAUAUUGAGCCUCCACUAUGAGCCAGGAGUUGUGCUGGGGAAAAAGAACAGUGAUCAAACACGUUCCUCAGAAUAGAGAAUCCGGAAAUAAACCCUGACACCUAUGGUCAAUUAAUCUUUGACAAGGGAGGCAAGAACAUAAAAUGGGAAAAGGAAAGUCUAUUCAGCAAGCAUUGC
This is a long non-coding RNA of Sus scrofa (pig), 1201 nucleotides long. RefSeq lists it as uncharacterized. The record is from RefSeq and is a predicted model, not a curated record. Lineage: Eukaryota; Metazoa; Chordata; Mammalia; Artiodactyla; Suidae.